AAACCAACAGGGAUUGCCUCAGUAGCGGCGAGUGAAGCGGCAAGAGCUCAGAUUUGAAAUCUCACCUAGUGUGCGAGUUGUAAAUUGCAGGUUGGAGUCUCGGGUUAGACGUGUGUGCAAGUCCCUUGGAACAGGGCGCCACUGAGGGUGAGAGCCCCGUAGCGUGCAUGUCGACACCUGUGAGGCCCUUCUGACGAGUCGAGUUGUUUGGGAAUGCAGCUCUAAGUGGGUGGUAAAUUCCAUCUAAGGCUAAAUAUUGGCGAGAGACCGAUAGCGAACAAGUACUGUGAAGGAAAGAUGAAAAGCACUUUGAAAAGAGAGUGAAACAGCACGUGAAAUUGUUGAAAGGGAAGGGUAUUGGGCUCGACAUGGGAUUUACGCAUCGUUGCCUCUCGUGGGCGGCGCUCUGGGUUUUUCCUGGGCCAGCAUCGGUUUUCGUUGCAGGAUAAGGACAAUUGGAAUGUGGCUCCUCGGAGUGUUAUAGCCUUUUGUAGAUGCUGCGUAUGGGGACCGAGGGCUGCGGCGGACUCGUU
Molecule: ribosomal RNA, 533 nt
Filed under: Pichia kluyveri
Lineage: Eukaryota; Fungi; Ascomycota; Pichiomycetes; Pichiales; Pichiaceae
Description: partial large subunit ribosomal RNA
Rfam family: Eukaryotic large subunit ribosomal RNA
Source: RNAcentral